GAAAACCAAAUAAAUGCAUGUUAUAGACUCUUAAAGCACUAAGGGAGGACAAAUAUCUGAUUGAUCUACUCAUUUUAAAGAAUUAGGCACUUGAUGCCUAUGGCUCAGAGCUACUUAUAAUCCCAGUAUCUUGUGAAUGGUUAGUGGUACAACAAAGCCCGGGAUGUGGGUUAUUUGUUCUUUUUAGUUGGAUUUAGUCAAAUAGUCAAAAGAUUAUGACGAGACUGUAUUAAAAAUAUAGAGCUAUAAUAUGAUAACAUCAUACCAACCCUUGGUUUUCAUGCCAAAUCUUUUCUUUUUUUCCUUAAGGGCCGCACCUGUGGCUUAUGGAAGUUCCCAGGCUAGGGGUUAAAUCAGAGCUGUAGCUGCUGGCCUACAUCAAUCACAGCCAUAGCAAUGCCAGAUCCAUACCCUGUCUGCAACCUACACCACAGCUCAUGACAGUACUGGAUCCUUAACCCUCUGAGCCAGGCCAGGGAUUGAACCCACAACCUCAUGGACACCAGUCGGGUUUGUUUCCACUGAGCCACACCGGAACUCCCUGGAAUCUUAGGUUUAGAUGUUUCUCCUUAAUUUUCUCUGGGGAGUACAAGGAUAUUACCUAAUCUUUUCAGGUUAAAAGUGUCAAUAUGUUAAUAUAGGAAGUAUUUUAAAAACCUCUUUUUGGCAUUUUUUCCACUUUUAAUGUCUCAGAUUCUCAAAGUGGACAUCACUGGAAUCUUUCUGGAGCCCUGAGUGGUCUUGUCUGUAGCUGUUGGCCACAUAGGCAUGUGCUGCUCACUGUGGAGAAGUAUGCUCUGCUGUUUGAUAGCUCUCACUGUCAGAAAUUCCAGCUGUCCAGACCCCAGCCUCCUGACUCAUAAUAGGCUUUCAGAAUCGCUCAGGACUCAAGAGUAACUGAACCAAAUCUAGAAACCGUUAGAAGAAACCAGCACGUCAGAGAAGAGCACAGGUUGUGGAUUAGAGAAGUUUCACUGGAUGAUGCACAGAUUGGCUGUCGAUAUUUUUAAAGGACCUGUGAAACCCGAGAAGCAUUCAAGGGGCGGGGAUGAGGCAGAAGCUACCAAGAAAAGAAAAGCAGAGGAGAAGAAGGAAGAGAGUGGGCGAAGAGGAGCAGCAGAAGUGAAGAAAGAGGACCAGGGAGAGGGAUGGCAGAGAGUGGGCUCUCUGAAGAGAGAACACCCAGAACCCUGAAAAUUAGCAUUCUGUGAGGGAAUAUCAUGCCUCUACAGUGUGGUGUGUGGAUGGGGCAGGGGAGCAGGCAACGGAGAAGGUGCACUGGAACUUCAUCUCAACCAUCAAUCCAAAGCCAUAGCAGCCAUCACACUUCAGCACUUUAUACAAGAUGAACUUGAUGGAAGUGUUAUGGGUUGCAUUUUGAUAGCUUUGUAAUGGAUCAAUCAGACUAAAUUGAAAGAAAAAAAAUCGUCUUUAGUUACCUCAGUUGAAACAAAGCCAUGUACUUUAAAGAAAAAUGCAGAGUGGGAGUGGAUCUUCAAAGCUGUGGGGCUCAAGGCAUCUUUAAAGAUGAAUGUCCUUCCCUUCUGGCCCCUUCCUCUCUAUCCCUCUCUUCUCUCCCCUUCCCCUCCUCCCUCUGUCUCAGCAGACUCUUCACAUCUAAUUUACUCUCUGUUCACCACCAAGUGACUUCAUCCUUCUCCUCUCUGUAUCUUUUCUGGUCCCUCCAAACUUUGGAUUACACAUGGCAUUAUGUCACCAUUAGCUCACUGCUGACUGGCACAGUUCUUCGGUGUUUCCCUUUAUACAUUUUGGAAACGAAGAUGCCAAACGGCUUAACUCACCCUUUCAGAGCUACACGAUGUGUCAUAUGCUAGAUUAUAAGUCUUCUGGCCGUUCAUCUUGGUGCCAAUUUUCAAGCUUCUCACCUGGGGGCAGGGCCAGGGUAGGGGCACAGUGGUAUGAAAUGUAGGUGCUUAGGCAAAGGAGAUGCCUAAGUGGUUGGGAUGAGAAAUUACCCAGGAGAGAUCCUCAGACAUCUCUAGUGCAGGCAUAGCUGCAAAGCAUUGUAAGAUAAUGGGCACAAAUGGGGUAGAACAGUGCUGAGUUGUAAUGCUGUCGAAUACUGUGGGUGCAACACAGUCUCCAGACUCCGUUUGUAAAAGACAAGACCAGGCACAUAGGAAAGUUGUGUUAGCUGUAAAAGAACAAACAAACAUUUGAAAGGUUGAUGAAUCACUGCACAUUCGUUCAUCUCCCUUAUACGAUAUCAAAUCUCAGAAAGGCAGCUGUUCACAUUUUCGGGUGCCUGGUAAAUCUUCUCAAGCGGCUGAGGAUUCAAUAUCAUGCAUAUGACAAAAUUAGGCAAGUCAACUGUGUGUUACAUGAGUGGCUCAUUUCGCCUGAUGUUCUAUUGCAUUUGCAGCUGCAGCUGCGUCUCAGACACGUAACAUUAACUGAUGUUCAUAAUGAUAACACUGAGUCAUUAAGAAAACCUGUAUUAUGUCUGGUACAGUAGACUUGAGAAGUAGAGAGAUGCAGUGGAGAAAGAACUAAGAUUCAGGAGUUCCUGCUUAAUUGCAGACGUGGAGAGAGGUGAGCUGCUUAUGCCUUUGCCCUUCAGCAACGGGAUUCCUGUGAGGCAGGCACAGUGAUACCCAUUCUACAGCUGAGAAAACAUGUUUAGAUGUGUUAGUAAAUUGUACAGAAUCCGGUUAGGAACGCAAAUCCAUCUUACUCCAGAACUUGCGUUCUCUCCUUACACCACCAAAUUUGCUGGGUGUUUUCGUUUGUUUGUUUGUUUUUGUUUUUGGUAGAGUCUAACAUGUGGCACAGAUGAUGUUAUCUACAAAACGGAAACAGAUCAUGGCCAAGGAGAGUACAUUUGUAGUUCCCAGGGAGGACAGCGGAGGGAGUGGAAUGGGCGGGCAGUUCCAGGUUUUUGGAUGCAAACUCUUAUAUUUGAAAUGGAUGAGCAAUGGGACCCUACAGGACAGCACAGCACAGGGAAAUGUGUGUGCCCGGGGUCACAUUGUUGUACAACAGAAAUUGAAGAAAUGUAAAUCAAUUACACUUUAAUAAAAAAAAAAAAAAAGAAAGAAAAA
RNAcentral lists this long non-coding RNA (3062 nucleotides) under Sus scrofa (pig). RNAcentral describes it as "lncRNA (ENSSSCG00035073401.1)". The record is from RNAcentral. Lineage: Eukaryota; Metazoa; Chordata; Mammalia; Artiodactyla; Suidae.